UGUUUUAUUCCUAAUGUUUUCUUUUGGAUCUGGUUUUUUAAUUGAUGUUUUCUGAAUCAAUUUUUUCAUCUGCAGAGGGUUUUUUUAUAGAUCUAGAACACAAAUCUCGUUAUCAACCUUUCAUCUUUAUCGCAUUCGUUGGGUUUGGAUGUUUCAAACUAUUAAACUUUUAUUUCAUUAUAUUAGUUACACUCCAGAUCUGGUUUUAAUUAGAAACCUCAAUUCUUGGUCAGAUUUACAGCGUUGUCGGUGAUUUGGAAUAUCAAGAUUUUGGAACGGGGGGUUUUGAGUUUGAUGUUUUCGAUUUAUUUUCUUAUGAAGUUUAUUUAGCUUUUACGUCAGAUCUGGUUUUAAUUGAUAAACUCGAUUCUUGGUCAGAUUUAGAGGCGUUCGUUGCUUUGGAUAUCAAAGAUUUUGGAUCAGGGGGUUUUGAGUUUCAUGAUUCUGAUUCACUUGACUUUUAUUUUCUUAUGAAGUUGCUUGUCCGGUUUUGAUUGAAAACCCCAAUUCUUGGUCAGGUUUAGGGAUGCUGUUGGUUUGCAUAUGAAGAAUUUGGAUCUUGGGGUUCACGGGUUCAUGAGUUUGAUGUUUCACAUACCCUUUUGUUGAGUUUAUCAUUUUCUAGUAUAUUACAGUCAGAUCUGGUAUUGAUUUGUAGCUUCAAUUCUUGGUCAGAUUUUGAGAUUCUUGGUUUGGUUUAGAGCGGCAAUGAUUGGAUAUUAAGAAUUGUGAUCAGAAGGGGUUCAGGAGUUUGUUUAAUCAGAUUUAUUUAAUUAUAUCAUUUAAGUUUCUAGUCUAAUAUGGUCAGAUCUGGUAUUGAUUCGAAGCUUCAAUUCUUGGUCAGAUUUAGAAGCGAGAGCAGUUGAUGAUUCGGUAGUGAGAGUUUGGAUCCUGUUUUCAGCCCGAGUCUUUGGUUAAGGAGAUGUUUAAUCAAAUUCUCUUGUUUUAUUAUAUCCUUAUGUUUUUGGUUUAUUGCGGUCAAAUCUGGUUUUGAUAGAAAGCCUCAAUUCUUGGUCAGAUUAAGAGCGCUGUUGGUGGUUCUCUCUGGUUAGGCGUGGUACACAGAAGCAGCUGCUUAUCCGGUGAAUUGGUCACAACUUUUGUAUGUGUGUUUUUGUAUUGGUUUAUGUUUGUUUUCUUUGCAGGUUUCUUUGUUUUGAUCUUUAGGUUGAGAUGAAGGAUUAUUACUGAAGAUAUGUUGUGUGAUUUGUGGUGGAGCUGAUUACUCCUUGGAUCAGCUGAUGGAGGAAAGCUGUGUGCCCUAAACUAUUUGGUGAGAUUUUAAAUGGAUCUAGGCUGUAGACAGUGUUACUGUGAUCAAUAUGUUGGUAGUGCUAGCAUUAAGGAUGUAGUAUGGUGUAGAAGAGAUCAAUACAGAUCCCUUAAUGUUAAGGGGAUGUAUUGAACACUCUUUGUCAUCUGACCUUUGCCAUGUCGGGUGCGCUUGCUUGGCAGGUCAAAAACCUUAAUAAAAAGAUCAUAUUUUUUGGUUGGGGGGAGAUCGCACGGGGAUUUUGCCCGGGAUCUUCCCCAGGUGUGUGUGUGUUGUGCCUUUCUGCCUUUUAUUCCAAUCAUCAAAUACCUACAUGCAACUGCAAUUGCACUUGGAUUGAAGAAGGUAACACUACCACACAUAAAGCACCGUAUUCAAAGCUCUAUUCUUAGAUAAUUUGGUGAUGUUCUCAGCCGGCCCCAAUUGGUCAAUUUGGAUGCAUAUCUCCAACAUGCAAGGUACACAUUUAACUUUCAGUUUCUAUAUUGACACAUGCUUUACAUAAUUUAUUAUCCUGCACUAUACACAUGAUAACACUCCAUGAACAUGAGUUUAGGCCAACCCAUAAGUAGUUCACAAUCUUUGAACCAGAUAAUAUUCACAUAGUAUUGCUGAUUCUGAUUGUAGAGGAUAUUCAUGACAAAGCUCAGGAUUUUCAGUUUAGUUAUGUUUUGGUGUUUUCAACUAGUGAAACUAUCUCAUUGUUUAUUUUUGAAAAUCAUAUUUUGAAAAGUAUGUUAAUAAUUUGAUGAUAUUUCCAUGGUAUAUUUUAUGAAAUUCGAUCGGAUACGAAACAAAAAAAUCUACAUAAUUUUGCUAGUGUUAAACCAGUUUUUGAAAAUGCCAAUACUUUUUAAUACUAUAAGCUGCACGUAUAUUUAGCUUUUCACACCUCAAAACGGAGUAUUUUAAAAAAUAUUCAUCAUCAUGUCUACUUCAAUAAAUCUAUGAUUUUUAUAGAAAGUAAAUGUUUCUUUGUUUACUUGGAUGGAAAAGCCCACCUUUGAACAAGAGUCUUGCUUUAAAAUAUCAAUGAUAUAUUGAUGAUAUAUUGCUCUUAGCUGUCACAUUGCCAUGUGAUUCGAAGUUAAUGGUUGUAUAUUGUCAAUAUUUUGUGAAUGGCGAAUACUUAAUGUUUGCUCAACAUUUUAGAACACUAUAUUUGAUUGUACUAAUUGAUUUAAAUUGGAAGUAUGGUUAUAUCACUUUUAGUAUGAGGAAUCGCAAAUAACAUUAAUUCAGGAGUAAGGUUCUGUUGGUACUUGAAAAGAGGUAACACCCUUCUAUCAUAUCACUGAAGGCAAAUAUUUUAGGAAAUGGUUUGUGCAUAAAAAGGUUGUAAUUAUUUGUUUGAAAGAUCUCCAAGGUUUGCACUCACUAACCUCCAUAGCCUGCAAUCUCUACACUCCAUAACCUGCAAUCAUUAGGAAAAUGCAGUAUCACAUUCUGUUGAGCUGUCAAGUACAUAACUCCAUUUGUUUCAAGUGUCAGUGCCACCAAUUUAAGUUCUUUUCAAGUUAUUUACAAUUUACUUGUCAUAUUUUGAAGUUUAAAGUUUAUUGUGAAAUUCGCACUAGAAUUUUUUUUUGCCAAAUAAUGGCUGUGCACACUUGGUUUAUGUUUCGAUUUGAGUGGGUUAUGUUCAAAAGAGUGUACAUGUUGUAAAUCAGUCAAAAGUGAGAUAUUGCAUUGUAAUACUUCCAAAAGUGUAACAUGUAGUUAUGGCGGAGUUGUGUUUUAGCACUUUUUGAGGGUCUCUGCUGGACUGGAUGUUCUUGAUAUCACAAAAACAAGUCUAAAGAGGUGCAAAUGUUAUAGUCCCUCUUGAUUAAAGGAGUUCAAAAAGGUUAUUUGGUUGGAAGAUGAGAUGCGGCAAAGGGAAGAAGGUUACUUGGUUUGAUGAUGAGAUGCGGCAAAGGAGCUGAAGCGAUGCCGAGAUAUCUGCUUUAUAAUCAGAGGUAAACAUAUUUUUACUAUAUCUUUGUAGUUUGUAGGGACAUCACUUAACGUUUGCUUGGCAGUGUCACUUAUUUUGUAUCACUGAGUCUGAUAUUUGCAGUCUGCUAUAUUUUUCUGCAGUUUUGGAUUGGUUUAAAGACGAGAUGCUUCAAAGGAGCUGAAAGGAUGCCAAUGUAAGCAUAGUUUUAGUAUAUCUUAAUUCUUAAUUCGGUUUCCAUAAUACCUUUUUGUAGCUUUUUCUCUGCGUAUCACGAUAUUAUUUUUUGUAGUUUGUAAGGACAACACUGAAUUUUUGCUUGUCAGUUUGGUUAUUUUGUAUCACUGAGUCCGACUUUUGCAAUCUGCUAGAUUUUUCUGCAGUUUUGGAUAUUCUCUUUCCUGGCGGAUGUUGUUAAGUGUUCCUUGGGUUGAAGUUCUCUGGUUAAUGAAGAGCUGAUAAUUUGUACAACAUUUAUAAAGGUAGAAGUUUGGUUUUGGCGGGUGCAACUCUACUGUGAAUAGAGUUUUCAGUGAAAGCUUCAUAAUAAGAAAUUGGUUGGAAGGUUUUUGCCACUUGUUGGAGGAAAGAACUGGAAAAUGAAAAUAAGUCUUUAAGAGGUACUUGUACAACCAUUGUCAACAAGCCAGCAUUGGUGAAAGGAGGUAUAAUGACAUUUCAUGUGUGGUCUUUGUACUUGAUUUACAAUUCUUCGGAAUUAUCGGCAUCACUAAAUUUGAAUUUCAGGCAGGUUUUGACUUCCGUGCUUUCUCUAUAUAGUACAGGGUUUAUACUGAAUUUUUGUUUCAUUUGAUUUGAUAUGAUAUGGUUCAAAUCUACGUAAUAUUUUUAGUGGAAUGAUGUAGAUGGUAAUAUUUUUGUUUUUGGCAUUGAAUACAGUUUUGCUUUUUAAAUUUGUUUUGUAUCUUGCCACCGUAUGAUCAACGUAUUUAAGCAUGGUUUGAUAUGGAGAUUGGUCUUAUGGCUUACAACUCGAUGAAUUACGAGUUAUUAUAUCUUGACAG
This 4234-nucleotide long non-coding RNA is filed under the name Aquilegia coerulea. Its description in RNAcentral is "long non-coding RNA (ACOE_LNC000602)". Lineage: Eukaryota; Viridiplantae; Streptophyta; Magnoliopsida; Ranunculales; Ranunculaceae. The record is from RNAcentral.